Molecule: long non-coding RNA, 497 nt
Organism: Musa acuminata AAA Group (dessert banana)
Lineage: Eukaryota; Viridiplantae; Streptophyta; Magnoliopsida; Zingiberales; Musaceae
Exons: 2
Source: RefSeq, a predicted model, not a curated record
AAAAGAAGAGGAGGAGAUAGAGAGAAAGCUGCAAGCAGAGAUGGCGCGAGUCGUGCGACAGAGGAGACAAGCACAGGGAGCGGAGGCAAGUAAUGCAGGCAAGGAAUAAAUGGGUAGAAAACAAGCCCAAGGAUUCAGAUCAAGAACCGGUUUCGUCUCUGCUUACGCCGAGGAAGCUGGCUGAUUCCAAAUCUGCCUUGGGACAAUGUGUUUCUUCGAGUAGCACUCGGUUGUUGUCUGUGCUUCUUCUUUUGAGAUCCAUGAAGCGCCACUUGGCGGUGGAACACUCGUGGGAGAAGAACAAGUUAGGUUGGGUCAUUUAAGAGCUGGCAGUCCAAGGUCUGGAGUGGUGUUCUAACCUGCAUGCGUGUCUGCUGCCACAAUGUCAUUUGUCUUUUGUUCUAUCUCAAGAAUUUAAAGGAUGUAUUGUUCUAUAUCACAGUGCAUACGACAUGGAGGAUGAAAUAAUAAUUUUGAAGCUGCUUCUCUUGUUUUAA